GAUAAUUUGAACGAUGUAAGAGAUUUCCAACGACGAUUUACAAACAUGAUUUCGAUCAAUGGAGCUUAUGGAGUAGACACAUUUUUUGUCUUGAGGUAAGAGUAAUUACUCUUGAGGCAUGUAAAGUGUAAAUGUACUCUUACCACACUAUAUAUUGCGUAGUUUCGCAAUGAAACGUAUUUUUAUAGGAUUCUCUAUUUUUGGUACACUAUAGUGAAAAAGGUUACGUAUAGAAAGGAUCACCGGCAAUAAUUUAUAAGAAAACAUUCUACUUAUAAAAUUAAACAUAAUGUACUUCUAUUGCUGCCAUUCGUUUCUAAGGAGACAUACUGCUAACCAAUCAGAUUUUAGUUGAAAUUCCUCAAAUAUGAUUAGCUCAGAAACUAUAGCUAUUAACUGCAAAUUUAUAAUUGCCAGAACUAUGGCAAAUUCUAUUUACAUAAUAAAUGGACCUGGAUGUAUAACCUUUUGCGCGUAAAGAUAGAAGAUAUGAUAAGGGAAACGUAAAUGAAUUACAACCAAAACAAAACUAAAACAUAGGACUGCAUGGGGAAAUAAUAAACCAUCCAUUUAUAAUAGCAAAUAAGUUCCACGAUUAUUUUGUAAAUGUUGAACCAGGGAUAGCCAGAAAUAUUCUGAACAGUAAAAGAACCUUUAAUAAAUACCUAUAAGACUGAAUAGAGAUAAGACUGAAUAGAGAUAAAUAGCAACUGAGAUAAAAAUUCAAAUUCUAAAAAGAGUUCAGGAUAUGACGGUAUAACUCUAUACAAGUCAUCAAGAACAUUGCUAAUGAAAUUUCCGAACCUUUUUCACACAUAUUUAACCUAACUUUUCUCAGUAGAACUAUAAUUCCUUAUAACCUAAAAGUCAGGGCUCUAGUUUAUAUACCCCAAUUUUCAAAGCAAAUGAAAAUAAUGAAUUUAAAAACACAGUUAAGAAAGUAAUAUCACAAUUGUUGUAAAAAUAAAAUAGUCUAGGCUAAGUAUGUAGUUAGAUAAGCGUAUAAUAUUUUAUGUAAAGCGUAUUUGAUCAUAUCCACAUGUAAAUUUGCGCUAUAGCUAUAGAAAUGCUAAUCGUGAUCGUAGUCGUACUCGUUUCAUACAAGUAAUUUCAUUAUUUCAUACAGUUAAAGCAAUUUAUCAUCCAAUUUCCAUCCAACUUUAACCAAAAUUUAAUCAUUCAGUUUGUCCUGGAGUAUAAUGUCCAGUAUAGUUC
Paramuricea clavata is the source of this 1215-nucleotide non-coding RNA. The record is from the annotation of a GenBank genome assembly. NCBI's taxonomy places the organism in Eukaryota, Metazoa, Cnidaria, Anthozoa, Malacalcyonacea, Plexauridae.